This 1431-nucleotide long non-coding RNA is filed under the name Phasianus colchicus (ring-necked pheasant). RNAcentral's name for it is "lncRNA (ENSPCLG00000000275.1)". Lineage: Eukaryota; Metazoa; Chordata; Aves; Galliformes; Phasianidae. The record is from RNAcentral.
AUGCUGCAGAUGGCGACGAGAAGAAGCGGAGGCCCGGUUCCCAUGUUUGCUGAGCAGAGGCGUUGGAGCCCUGGAGUGAGGUCUCAGCUGUUCUCUCCACCUCACUGCACAGAGAAAACACCCCAGAGUAUCCUGUUCAGAGCCACUUCCUUACCCUACAUCCCAGUGGAUGCAGCUUCUGAAAGGAAGCAGAGUCGGCAAGGAUGGAGUGCUUUUGGGAAUCAUUCCCAGCAUGUGGAGACUGCAGUCUGCAGCAAGCAAGGGCAGCUCCCUCAGCAAGUGGAAAAUGGGCUUCACCUCCGUGCGGUCUCCCUGUGGUUUGCUUCCCUUGCGAUAUUAUUUUUGAAUAGCAGGCAGGAGCUUGGUGUCUCUUGCUCUGUUUAGUACAUCCAAUAACCAAACCUGGCCCACUUCUGGGUGGUCCUCGUGAAAUACCAGAAAACCACACAAAGGCCAUGUGAUUUAAUAGUCCUAAGAAACAGAGAAAUUGCUUUGACAGAUACCUCAAAAUCAGUUCUUCAAGAAAUGGGAUGUUUCAACCAAUGUCCAUUCCACUUGUGUUUUUUCCCCUAUUUCCUUUUCUCUUUCUUUGCCCUUAGUUCUUCAUUCUGAUAAACCAGCCUGGAAAAUGUAGAUGACUGAUGUGAUGUGUUGAUGCCUGAUUUGGUCUUAGGAUGGGGAAUGUUACACAAAAAGUCUUCCAGGUUAAAGAAUUCAGAUCCCAGUCGCUAGGCAGAGUGGAUCACUUCAGGAUCAAGAAGAAGGAGGGAUACGAAGAGCCAGCCAUGAAAGCACAGACGUAAGCAUGAUUUCCUUAUAGUUUCCUGUGUACUUUGUGGCUAGAGCUAGCACUGAUUCCAGCGCCUGCAUGUUUGUGGGCAGCUUACCUGCCCUCUCUGCCAGCAAACUGCACAGGCAUCAACAGCUGCAAUCCCAACUCAGAGCCCAGCUCUCACUUCCCCAGCCCGGCUCACUGCUUUUCUGUCCCAGUUCCUGCAUCUUCCUGUUCUCUAGAUCUGCUUUUCAGAUGUAUCAUCCAUAGAAGCUGAGCUGGUGGAGUGAGCAACACUAAAGAGAGGGAAAUAACCCACGUUCUUCUGGACCAAGCAGGACAUGGAACCAGGAGAAGAGGCUGCUUGCAAGUCAACUCUGCUGCUCUGCUCCUCAGUCCCUGGCAGAAGCAGGGCACCAGCUCGCUCAUUCCCUAACCACGCUGAAGUCAGAAGGAAAAUAAUUUUAUCUCAAUCCCCAACACAGUCCUUGCCAGCCUUUCGUGAUGUGAACUUAACUAACAUUUCUCCAUUCAAAACUUUUUUCAAUUCUAUUGCAGAUAUACACAGUAAUUUCUGGAGAGGAUAGGAACCCAAGUCUCUUCAGAAGGAAAGAACAGACUGGCCAGAGACACUGUAAUAAAUUCCUGUUCUACUAGCA